AGGAUAAACGCUGGCGGCGUGCCUAACACAUGCAAGUCGAACGUCUCUUCUUUCGGGAAGAGGAGUGGCGGACGGGUGAGGAACACGUGGGAACCUGCCCUUUAGUGAGGAAUACCGGCGAGAAAUCGCCGACAAGACCGCAUAGCCCUCUUUGAUGAGAGUCAAAGAAGGAAAGCUUCGCAAGAGGCGCUAGAGGAGGGGCCUGCGUCCGAUUAGCUAGUUGGUGGGGUAAGAGCCUACCAAGGCGUCGAUCGGUAGCUGGUCUGAGAGGACGAUCAGCCACACUGGGAUUGAGAACGGCCCAGACUCCUACGGGGGGCAGCAGUGAGGAAUUUUCCGCAAUGGACGCAAGUCUGACGGAGCAACGCCGCGUGCAGGAUGAAGGUUUUCGGAUCGUAAACUGCUUUUCGUCGGGGACGAGCAAGGACGGUACCCGAGGAAGAAGCCCCGGCUAACACGUGCCAGCAGCCGC
RNAcentral lists this ribosomal RNA (472 nucleotides) under uncultured bacterium. RNAcentral describes it as "SSU rRNA". It matches the Rfam family "Bacterial small subunit ribosomal RNA", at positions 26 to 518 of the family's 1533-position model. The record is from RNAcentral.